This 134-nucleotide ribosomal RNA is filed under the name uncultured eukaryote. RNAcentral describes it as "partial small subunit ribosomal RNA". It matches the Rfam family "Eukaryotic small subunit ribosomal RNA", at positions 1651 to 1784 of the family's 1831-position model. The record is from RNAcentral.
CCCUGCCUUUUGUACACACCGCCCGUCGCACCUACCGAUCGAAGGUAAUGAUGAGCCCUCAGGACUGCUGAAGAGGCCCCUCACGGGGUCUUUUCGGUUGAAAUUUGUGCAAAUCCUUACCUUUAGAGGAAGGU